GACGUUUAGCUGCAGAAGAAGCACCGGCUAACUCCGUGCCAGCAGCCGCGGUAAUACGGAGGGUGCGAGCGUUAAUCGGAAUUACUGGGCGUAAAGCGCAUGCAGGUGGUUUGUUAAGUCAGAUGUGAAAGCCCGGGGCUCAACCUCGGAAUUGCAUUUGAAAACUGGCAAACUAGAGUACUGUAGAGGGGGUAGAAUUUCAGGUGUAGCGGUGAAAUGCGUAGAGAUCUGAAGGAAUACCGGUGGCGAAGGCGGCCCCCUGGACAGAUACUGACACUCAGAUGCGAAAGCGUGGGGAGCAAACAGGAUUAGAUACCCUGGUAG
Molecule: ribosomal RNA, 324 nt
Filed under: uncultured bacterium
Lineage: Bacteria
Description: bacterial SSU rRNA
Rfam family: Bacterial small subunit ribosomal RNA
Source: RNAcentral